Cotesia glomerata is the source of this 1318-nucleotide long non-coding RNA. RefSeq lists it as uncharacterized. The record is from RefSeq and is a predicted model, not a curated record. Lineage: Eukaryota; Metazoa; Arthropoda; Insecta; Hymenoptera; Braconidae. The transcript is spliced from 2 exons.
AGAUUAUUAAAAAUAAUACUUUUACCCGAACUGAUUUAAUAAUAAAUUCACUCGACCAAUAAGAAAGCAAUUAUCAGUCAGUAUUGUAAUUUCGUUAAUAAAUUCCCAGGGGCUGGGCUGGUACUGGGGUACUCAACCCCGUAAAUAAUUACCGGAAGCGCCUAAAAUUUCUCAGGGUAAAAAUAUCUUGUAUUUUUUUUUUUAAUUAUACGGUUAAUCCGUAAAGUUAUCACAUCCCUUCUAUAAUUAAAUCCGUGGAGAACAAGGAAAAACAUAAAAAAGAUAAGAACUAAUACUGUGGCGGGAAGUGUGACUACAUAUAUGUGUGAGACCGCGUGGUCGCUAACUCGCUAACGUGAAUUACGGGCGUAAGGCGCAGACGUGGAAUUUUGUUAUCAUUAUACCAGUUCCUUCAUAUAUUUACACACAUAUACAAAUAGAGAUAUAGAUAGAGAUAGAUAAACAUAUGAGUACCAAUUUAGAACGUAUCACAGUAAUCCUUGAUCCUGUACUCUUGGAAUUAUCAAACAUCAUCAGCAUUUCAGUGAGUAAAAUAUUACAUAAAACAGUCCAUAGACUUGAUCGCUUAUUAUUAAUUAUUAUAUAUUGUAUGUUAAAUAUUUUUAUCCUUUAUCUUAAUCCUGUAAAACAUUUCCAUUAAUAUUUAUAUUUACAAUAGCAUUAUCAGCAUUAUUAUACAAUAAUGUACUUCUGGAAAUUUUUUUCCUCCCUGGCGUACACGUGACAAACAACGUACACUCCCCGAUCCUUGUUCGCAAUAUAUUUGCGCGCGUUGCAAUUGCAAAUACGACUAGACUUAACUGCCGCUGAUUCUGGUGCCGUGGUCGCCACCUUGACACGUUUAUCCCGGCAUGCGAGUAGUGGCGCUUCGGUGCUGCUGUGACAAUCAAACUCAAUUAUUGUUUGCCGCUUGGCCUUUGAAGCCGCAAACUAUGUACCUACAAGUCCACAAGACUAAAAAAUAAACAAGAAAAUCUUUAAAAAAAAUCACUUCAAUUACAUUACACAGUUACGCAAGACAAUUUACCAGAAACAAUAUACUCGCAUCAAUUAUUACACUUGAUUCUAUAAAUAGGCAAAAAAAACGGCGACCAGUUGGGAGAAUUUUGAAACUAAUGGCGCGUGCGAAAAUUCAAAAAAGCCCGCCAAUUUCUUCCUGAAAUAAACUCAUUAAUUUGGUGUUAAAUAUCUAUCGUAUAAUUUAGUACUCUAUUUCAAGAGUUAAUAAAAUUGAUAAAAAAUUUAACGUCGUAGAUGAAACCAACUACGUGACGACGGAUAGACGAACAGGCUAGAG